CAGCUUUUGAGCCCUCUACUGACCUCUUUGGCUACUCUUUGACAUUACAGGUAAAAAUAAAAAAUACAACAUAAUAAACUUUUUUAUGCUGUGACACCUCGGGCCAAAGGUCUUGCUACGUUGUGAUUGACACAGAUGCCAGUCCUCAUUCCUCUCCUCACCAUCCGAGGUUUGCCAUGCGUCCUGAUCGCGAGGUCUUCUUAAGGGGUGUGCUGAGCCUUUGAUACGUCUUGGGUGAAAAGUUGUUUGUUACACUUUUUGACUCCACACAUACUUCGGUCCCUGAAGAAGGAAACCCGAAGCGCGUUGGGCCCAGUAUUUAUAUCGUGGACUCUUCACUCUUUUCCAACCACACCCCAUUAAUGUGUUGUUUUUAAACUUUUGUAUUAUACAUGUUUAUCAUAUUGUUUGAUACCUUUUGUUACCAUUAAACUAUUACUUAUUUUUGUA
Molecule: long non-coding RNA, 450 nt
Organism: Rana temporaria (common frog)
Lineage: Eukaryota; Metazoa; Chordata; Amphibia; Anura; Ranidae
Exons: 3
Source: RefSeq, a predicted model, not a curated record